Molecule: ribosomal RNA, 283 nt
Filed under: uncultured Streptococcus sp.
Lineage: Bacteria; Bacillati; Bacillota; Bacilli; Lactobacillales; Streptococcaceae
Description: partial 16S ribosomal RNA
Rfam family: Bacterial small subunit ribosomal RNA
Source: RNAcentral
CGCAACCCCUAUUGUUAGUUGCCAUCAUUCAGUUGGGCACUCUAGCGAGACUGCCGGUAAUAAACCGGAGGAAGGUGGGAUGACGUCAAAUCAUCAUGCCCUUAUGACCUGGGCUACGACACGUGCUACAAUGGUUGGUACAACGAGUUGCGAGUCGGUGACGGCGAGCUAAUCUCUUAAAGCCAAUCUCAGUUCGGAUUGUAGGCUGCAACUCGCCUACAUGAAGUCGGAAUCGCUAGUAAUCGCGGAUCAGCAUGUCACGGUGAAUACGUUCCCGGGUCUU